UACACUCCUGCGGGAGGCAGCAGUGGGGAAUUUUGGCCAAUGGGCGAAAGCCUGAUCCAGCAAUGCCGCGUGAGUGAAGAAGGCCUUCGGGUUGUAAAGCUCUUUUGUCAGGGAAGAGACGGUGAGAGCUAAUAUCUUUUGCUAAUGACGGUACCUGAAGAAUAAGCACCGGCUAACUACGUGCCAGCAGCCGCGGUAAUACGUAGGGUGCAAGCGUUAAUCGGAAUUACUGGGCGUAAAGCGUGCGCAGGCGGUUUUGUAAGUCUGAUGUGAAAUCCCCGGGCUCAACCUGGGAAUUGCAUUGGAGACUGCAAGGCUAGAAUCUGGCAGAGGGGGGUAGAAUUCCACGUGUAGCAGUGAAAUGCGUAGAUAUGUGGAGGAACACCGAUGGCGAAGGCAGCCCCCUGGGUCAAGAUUGACGCUCAUGCACGAAAGCGUGGGGAGCAAACAGGAUUAGAAACCCUGGUAGUCCC
This 473-nucleotide ribosomal RNA is filed under the name uncultured organism. RNAcentral describes it as "partial 16S ribosomal RNA". It matches the Rfam family "Bacterial small subunit ribosomal RNA", at positions 332 to 797 of the family's 1533-position model. The record is from RNAcentral.